UUGAAAAUAAACCUGACGAGUUGCUGCUGGCUCUCUAGAGAGCAUGUGCACACUUGUCAUCUUAUACAUCUCCACCUGUGCACCUGAUGUAGACCUGGAUAACUCUCUGAAUGUGCUAGCAUUCAGGUAUGAGGAUUGACUCUCUGGCUCUCCUUAAAAUUUCAGAUCUAUGUUUUUUCAUAUAACCUCAAAUGUAUGUUAUAGAAUGUAAUAUUAUGGGCUUCUGUGCCUUAUAAACCUUAUA
RNAcentral lists this unclassified non-coding RNA (244 nucleotides) under uncultured Cortinarius. Its description in RNAcentral is "sequence contains ITS1". Lineage: Eukaryota; Fungi; Basidiomycota; Agaricomycetes; Agaricales; Cortinariaceae. The record is from RNAcentral.